This is a long non-coding RNA of Neopelma chrysocephalum (saffron-crested tyrant-manakin), 387 nucleotides long. RefSeq lists it as uncharacterized. The transcript has 3 exons. The record is from RefSeq and is a predicted model, not a curated record. NCBI's taxonomy places the organism in Eukaryota, Metazoa, Chordata, Aves, Passeriformes, Pipridae.
GCCCGCGCGGGGGGUGUCGGGAGGGAGCGGUUUGAAGGCGGGCCGUCAGUGGCCUAGGCUGGGCUGCGGCACUCCUGGGAAAACGCAGCUCCGGCGACUGCGAGAGCAGAACACGGUACGCAUCAAGAGAAGAAACUCACCAGGGCAUGUUAUAGCUCUGAAUUCAUGGGAUAACUUCAAACCUUAUAAGCACACCAUGCAGAGGUGAAGCAGAUUCACACAGUGCUGCAUUGCUGGAGAGCAGCAAGUCAGAAUGAAUUACUGAACUCAAAAGAGACGCACGUCUUUUGGAAGAGACAGGUGAUUUGCUGUAUGGGGAUGAAGAACGAGAUGAAGAGGACCUCGGGGACCUGGAAGAUCUGUAAGAUCGACGAGAUCUGCUCCGGG